UAACUGAAGAGUUUGAUCCUAGCUCAGAUUUAACGCUGGCGGCACGCCUUACACAUGCAAGUCGCACGGCAGCGCGGGGAGCUUGCUCCCUGGCGGCGAGUGGCGAACGGGUGAGUAAUGCAUGGGAACAUGCCCAAUGGUGGGGAAUAUCCUAAGGAAACUUAGGGUAAUUCCGCAUAAUCUCUACGGAGCAAAGCGGGGGAUCUUCGGACCUCGCGCCGAUGGAUUGGCCCAUGUCCGAUUAGUUUGUUGGUGGGGUAACGGCCUACCAAGACCGCGAUCGGUAGCUGGUUUUAGCGAAUGAUCAGCCACACCGGGACUGAGACACGGCCCGGACACCUACGGGUGGCAGCAGUGGGGAAUAUUUGACAAUGGGGGAAACCCUGAUCAAGCGAUGCCGCGUGAUUGAAGAAGGCCUUCGGGUUGUAAAGAUCUUUCAUUGAGGAGGAAAAAGCCGAUCCUAAUAAGAGCGGCCCAUGACAUUACUCAAAGAAGAAGGACCGGCUAACUACGUGCCAGCAGCCGCGGUAAUACGUAGGGUCCGAGCGUUAAUCGGAAUUACUGGGCGUAAAGCGUGCGUAGGCGGCCGCCUAAGUCGGAUGUGAAAGCCCCGGGCUCAACCUGGGAACUGCGUUCGAUACUGGGCGGCUUGAGACCGGCAGAGGAAAGUAGAAUUCUCGCAAGUAGUGGUGAAAUGCGUAGAUAUGCGGAGGAAUACUCGUGGCGAAGGCGGCUUUCUGGGCCGUGUCUGACGCUGUAGCACGAAAGCGUGGGUAGCAAACAGGAUUAGAUACCCUGGUAGUCCACGCCGUAAACGAUGUCUGCUAGUCGUUGGGAGGUUCGCCUCGCAGUGACGAAGCUAACGCGUGAAGCAGACCGCCUGGGGAGUACGAUCGCAAGAUUAAAACUCAAAGGAAUUGACGGGGACCCGCACAAGCGGUGGAUGAUGUUGAUUAAUUCGAUGCAACGCGAAAAACCUUACCUACCCUUGACAUGCUAUGGAAGGUCCGCGGAAACGCGGCCGUCUUCGGACUGUAGCACAGGUGUUGCAUGGCUGUCGUCAGCUCGUGUCGUGAGAUGUUGGGUUAAGUCCCGCAACGAGCGCAACCCUUGUCGUCUGUUGCCAGCGGGUAAUGCCGGGGACUCUGACGAAACUGCCAGUGUUCAACUGGAGGAAGGAGGGGAUGAGGUCAAGUCAUCAUGGCCCUUACGGGUAGGGCUUCAAACAUCAUACAAUGGCCGGUACAGAGGGCUGCGAACUCGCGAGGGGGAGCUAAUCUCACAAAACCGGUCUUAGUCAGGAUUGCAGUCUGCAACUCGACUGCAUGAAUCAGGAAUCGCUAGUAAUCGCAGAUCAGCAUGCUGCGGUGAAUACGUUCUCGGGUCUUGUACACACCGCCCAUCACACCAUGGAAGUGGGGGAUACUGGAAGUGGGUAGCCUAACCUUCGGGAGGGCGCUCACCAAGGUAUGUUUCAUGACUGGGGUGAAGUUGUAACAAGGUAGCCGUAGGAGAACCUGCGGCUGGAUUACCUCCUUU
This 1539-nucleotide ribosomal RNA is filed under the name Candidatus Amphirhobacter heronislandensis. Its description in RNAcentral is "Betaproteobacteria bacterium AqS2 Bacterial small subunit ribosomal RNA". It matches the Rfam family "Bacterial small subunit ribosomal RNA". The record is from Rfam by way of RNAcentral. Lineage: Bacteria; Pseudomonadati; Pseudomonadota; Gammaproteobacteria; Candidatus Tethybacterales; Candidatus Tethybacteraceae.